AUUGAACGCUGGCGGAAUGCUUUACACAUGCAAGUCGAACGGCAGCACGGGUGCUUGCACCUGGUGGCGAGUGGCGAACGGGUGAGUAAUACAUCGGAACGUACCCAGUCGUGGGGGAUAACGUAGCGAAAGUUACGCUAAUACCGCAUACGUCCUGAGGGAGAAAGCGGGGGACCGUAAGGCCUCGCGCGAUUGGAGCGGCCGAUGGCGGAUUAGCUAGUUGGUGGGGUAAAGGCCUAUCAAGGCGACGAUCCGUAGCGGGUCUGAGAGGACGGCCCGCCACACUGGAACUGAGACACGGUCCGGACUCCUACGGGAGGCAGCAGUGGGGAAUUUUGGACAAUGGGCGAAAGCCUGAUCCAGCCAUUCCGCGUGAGUGAAGAAGGCCUUCGGGUUGUAAAGCUCUUUCGGCAGGGAAGAAACGGCUUGGGAUAAUACCCCGGGCUAAUGACGGUACCUGAAGAAGAAGCACCGGCUAACUACGUGCCAGCAGCCGCCGUAA
RNAcentral lists this ribosomal RNA (502 nucleotides) under uncultured bacterium. RNAcentral describes it as "partial 16S ribosomal RNA". It matches the Rfam family "Bacterial small subunit ribosomal RNA", at positions 29 to 523 of the family's 1533-position model. The record is from RNAcentral.